UUUCGUAGGCUUGCCAUGAGUUGUUUUUGUAGUUGAAUUACAACGGUGGUUUUUCAUAUCAUUGGUCUU
RNAcentral lists this transfer RNA (69 nucleotides) under Moringua edwardsi (spaghetti eel). Its description in RNAcentral is "tRNA-Glu". Lineage: Eukaryota; Metazoa; Chordata; Actinopteri; Anguilliformes; Moringuidae. The record is from RNAcentral.